RNAcentral lists this small nuclear RNA (294 nucleotides) under Castor canadensis (American beaver). RNAcentral describes it as "7SK RNA (ENSCCNG00000016232.1)". It matches the Rfam family "7SK RNA". From Rfam's summary of the family: 7SK was discovered as an abundant small nuclear RNA in the mid-70s but a possible function has only recently been suggested. Two independent studies have found that 7SK RNA binds the CDK9/cyclin T complex (known as elongation factor P-TEFb). Lineage: Eukaryota; Metazoa; Chordata; Mammalia; Rodentia; Castoridae. The record is from Rfam by way of RNAcentral.
GGAUGUGAGGGCGAUCUGGCUGCGACAUCUGUCACCCCAUUGAUCGCCAGGGUUGAUUCAGCUGAUCUGGCUGGCUAGGCGGGUGUCCCCUUCCUCCCUCACCACUCCAUGUGCGUCCCUCCCAAAGCUGUGCUCCAUCAAAGAGGACGACCAUCCCCGAUAGAGGAGGACCGUUCUUUUGUCAAGGGUAUACGAGUAGCUGCGCUCCCCUGCUAGAACCUCCAAACAAGCUCUCAAAAUUGUUUGGCCAUUCUAAUAUCCAUUCCAUUUACAUACAGAUUUAAGGAUUCCCUU